ACGGGAGGCAGCAGUCGGGAAUAUUGCGCAAUGGAGGAAACUCUGACGCAGUGACGCCGCGUAUAGGAAGAAGGUUUUAGGAUUGUAAACUAUUUUAGACAGGGAAGAAAAAUGACGGUACCUGUUAAAUAAGCUCCGGCUAACUACGUGCCAGCAGCCGCGGUAAUACGUAGGGAGCAAGCGUUAUCCGGAAUUAUUGGGUGUAAAGGGUGCGUAGACGGGAACUUAAGUUGGUUGUGAAAGCCCCAGGCUUAACUUGGGAAUUGCAACCAAAACUGAGUUUCUUGAGUGCAGGAGAGGAAAGCGGAAUUCCUAGUGUAGCGGUGAAAUGCGUAGAUAUUAGGAGGAACACCAGUGGCGAAGGCGGCUUUCUGGACUGUAACUGACGUUGAGGCACGAAAGUGUGGGGAGCAAACAGGAUUAGAUACCCUGGUA
This is a ribosomal RNA of 435 nucleotides. It matches the Rfam family "Bacterial small subunit ribosomal RNA", at positions 341 to 792 of the family's 1533-position model.